UACGUAGGGUGCGAGCGUUGUCCGGAAUUACUGGGCGUAAAGAGCUCGUAGGCGGUUUGUCGCGUCUGCUGUGAAAACUCGGGGCUUAACCCCGGGCCUGCAGUGGGGUACGGGCAGACUAGAGUGCGGUAGGGGAGACUGGAAUUCCUGGUGUAGCGGUGAAAUGCGUAGAUAUCUGGAGGAAUACCGGUGGCGAAGGCGGCAUCCUGGACCGACAUUGACGCUGAGGCGCGGAAAGCCCAGGGGAGCAAAGCGGGGAUUAGAAA
Molecule: ribosomal RNA, 266 nt
Filed under: uncultured bacterium
Lineage: Bacteria
Description: partial 16S ribosomal RNA
Rfam family: Bacterial small subunit ribosomal RNA
Source: RNAcentral